RNAcentral lists this ribosomal RNA (254 nucleotides) under uncultured bacterium. Its description in RNAcentral is "partial 16S ribosomal RNA". It matches the Rfam family "Bacterial small subunit ribosomal RNA", at positions 524 to 776 of the family's 1533-position model. The record is from RNAcentral.
UACAGGGGGCUCGAGCGUUAGUCGGAAUCACUGGGCUUAAAGGGUGCGUAGGCGGCUCGUCAAGUGCUUUGUGAAAUCCCACAGCUCAACUGUGGAACAGCAGGGCAAACUGACGAGCUUGAGGCAGGUAGGGGCCGGAAGAACAGUAGGUGGAGCGGUGAAAUGCGUAGAUAUCUACUGAAAUGCCGAUGGGGAAGCCGUCCGGCGUGGGCCUGUCCUGACGCUGAGGCACGAAAGCGUGGGGAGCAAACAGG